AAUCCCUCCAAAAUUAAGCCCUGAUUGCAUAAACACAAAGUCCUGCACAAAACACACCAUAUUCGAUGAUGAAACUUCAUUCAACACAAAAUCACAGUUCAUUUUCUGCGAUCCUUCCUUUAAGCUUGCUCUUCUCCCCUCUCUCUGAUUCGAGUUGAAAAUAGGGCAAAACUCGCGUUGAAAAUGUGACUUCUCCGUCGCUUCUUCUUUGUCGCCGCUCGCUUGCACGAGCUCCCUCCGUCACUGCUCGCUUGCACGAGCUCCCUCCGCCGCCGCUCGCUCGCAUGAGCUCCCUCCUCUGCUGCUCGCGUUACACGAGCUCCCUCUGCCGCCUCUCAGCUUAUGUCUCUCUCUGUCUCGCGCCAUCCAUCCUCGCCGUUCACAGCCUCGUCGAGUCAUCGUGUCACCAGAUCUAAAACCUACAUAUUUUUGUUCUUGAAUCCUCUUCAAGGUUCGAAUUUGGUUUUGAAAGUAGCUCCAUUAAUUGUUAUGGCUAAAAGUUUGCGUUGAAGAUAAUCUAUUGUGCCUUUUAGAGUCCUGCUUCUGAGAUAGGUUGGGACUCCAAUUUGUAUUCCUUCUAGAGACUUCAUUGACAUUGGCCGCAUUGCCUCCAUUGAAAAUAACCACACGCCAGUUGAUUAUGCAAAGAAAGGGCUGAAAGGAGCUAUUAAGAAUGUUGAAGUAUUCAUGGACGCAUUUAGAGCAGUAAUUGAAGAGAGGUAACGCGUCUAUUAUUUUGUGGAACUUCAGGAAUGAUUUGACCUCGAAUGCCUUUUGUAUUAAUUCAAACCUUGCAAUGUGGUUUGAUCUUGAAUAUUUAUGCUUUCACCCUGAAUAUGAAUAUUUUAGGCUUAUUUAGAUUAUAUCUGAGUGUAAGAGCAUUUGGUGCAACAGUAAGAUUUCUACCUCAUGACAUGAUGACUGAGUUGAAUGUUGACUAAUAUUGCUAUAUAUAUGUAUACAUGUAGGGAUUAACAAAGACACUAGACUUUAUAAUUGACACAGCAUUGGUGAUCAUCCUUUUGAUCCUUACAUAGCACUUCUGAAAACAUUUGGUAUCCUAGUAGUAGUUGGGGCUGCAAAUGAAAUCAAGUUCAGCCCUGCAAGCCUAUUCUUCAGUAUUACAUAUAUCUGCGCAUAUUGUUCAUUGUUUCAAUUUUUCUGGUUUGGUGCAGGAUUAAAAACAAAUGUCAUGUUUUCUUGUCCCAGUAUCUUCUUUUCUCAAUUUGGCUACGCAGUUAGGUUAGAUGAAUGUCGCUGUGCACACCAAGUGUUCGAUGGUUUGCUUAUUUGUUGGUUUGAGCUAACAUGCACAUCUAGAGAUUCAAAAGAAUACUGAAUCUCGGUUAUCCAAACACUUUCAUACUGUAUUAUCUUUUGCUUUACAUGAAGUAGUGAAGAACACCUGUGUCUCUGUGGAUAAGUUUUUUGUUAUGAUUAAGGACCUUGAUAUAUCAAGGAGGAAAGCAGAUCUUGAAGGCCACACAACAAGAGCAGAUGGUCUGAGAAAACCUUUGAUGGACAUAAUUUUAGAUCAACUAGCUUACAGCAUAGAUACCAUCUGCUCCUCUCACCCUUUUUGCAAAUAGCUACCUUCAGUGAACCAAAAAGUAAACUGGAAAUAGUUGUGCAUUACCUGUGGAAAUACAUGACUAAGCCUUCUGUUCACACUCGAAAGUCAAAUGGCUGUCCUGAGGAUGCAACAUUUGAAGUGGCUUUGAAAUGCUUCUCAAAUAAAACUGGCACUAAAAGCACUAUUAAAAAAAUUGGUCCAGAUGUAAUGCAGUUCCUUGUUGGUCACAGGUAUUCCUUUUUUGUUAUUUUAGUUGGAAGGUGGUUCUGUAAUAGAAGUAAUGGUUUGAUUCCUGUUAUUUAAAAGCUUUACUAUCUUCCUAACCCUCAUACAUGGAUUGUAAGCAUUUUGCAUAAUGUGAUUGGUGAAUUUGGUUAUAACGAGAGAAAUUUUUCGGGGUUAUUGGUUCA
Molecule: non-coding RNA, 1983 nt
Organism: Arachis ipaensis
Lineage: Eukaryota; Viridiplantae; Streptophyta; Magnoliopsida; Fabales; Fabaceae
Source: RefSeq, a predicted model, not a curated record